UCCUUUGUGGCUCAGCUGGUAAAGAAUCCACCUGCAAUGUGGAAGACCUGGGCUCGAUUCCUGGAUUAGGAA
This 72-nucleotide transfer RNA is filed under the name Ovis aries (sheep). It matches the Rfam family "tRNA". Rfam says of the family: Transfer RNA (tRNA) molecules are approximately 80 nucleotides in length. Their secondary structure includes four short double-helical elements and three loops (D, anti-codon, and T loops). Lineage: Eukaryota; Metazoa; Chordata; Mammalia; Artiodactyla; Bovidae. The record is from Rfam by way of RNAcentral.